RNAcentral lists this ribosomal RNA (497 nucleotides) under uncultured bacterium. RNAcentral describes it as "partial 16S ribosomal RNA". It matches the Rfam family "Bacterial small subunit ribosomal RNA", at positions 29 to 507 of the family's 1533-position model. The record is from RNAcentral.
AGUGAACGCUGGCGGCGUGCCUAAUACAUGCAAGUCGAGCGGACGGACGAUGAGCGUUCGCCUCUGCCGGUGGCGGGUGGCGGGUGAGUGACGCGUGGAUCACCUUCUUCUAAUUCGGGGGGGACUUCGUAGGACCAGUUAUGCUACCAGCGAAUAUGUUGUACCGCAUAAAUCAGUAGUUAUACACGCUUUUCGCGUCACAUAUAGACGAUGCCGCGCCGCAUUAGCUAGUUGGUAAGGUAACGGCUUACCAAGGCAACGAUGCGUAGCCGACCUGAGAGGGUGAUCGGCCACACUGGAACUGAGACACGGUCCAGACUCCUACGGGAGGCAGCAGUGGGGAAUCUUGCGCAAUGGGCGGAAGCCUGAUGGAGCAACGCCGCGUGAGUGAUGAAGGUCUUCGGAUCGUAAAACUCUGUUAUUAGGGAAGAAAAACUGUGUAAGUAAAUCCGGCCGUCCUGACGGUACCCAAAGAGAAAGCACCGGCUAACUACGUG